Molecule: ribosomal RNA, 466 nt
Filed under: uncultured bacterium
Lineage: Bacteria
Description: partial 16S ribosomal RNA
Rfam family: Bacterial small subunit ribosomal RNA
Source: RNAcentral
GAUGAACGCUGGCGGCGUGCUUAACACAUGCAAGUCGAACGGAAAGGCUCCUGCUUGCCGGGGUACUCGAGUGGCGAACGGGUGAGUAACACGUGGGUGAUCUGCCCUGCACUUCGGGAUAAGCCUGGGAAACUGGGUCUAUUACCGGAUAGGACGAUGGUUUGGAUGCCAUUGUGGAAAGUUUUUGCGGUGUGGGAUGAGUUCGCGGCCUAUCAGCUUGUUGGUGGGGUAAUGGUCUACGAAGGCGUCGCCGGGUAGCCGGCCUGUGAGGGUGGACGGCGACAUUAGGACUGAGGUACGCACCAGACGCCUACGGGAGGCAGUAGUGGAGAGUAUUGCACAGUGGGGGCAAGCCUGAGACAGCGACGCCGCGUGGGGGAUGACGGCUUACGGGGUGUGAACACCUGUGUCAAGGGACGUAGCGGAAGUGACGGUACCUGGAGAAGAAGCAACGGCUAACUACGUG